This 363-nucleotide ribosomal RNA is filed under the name Triticum aestivum (bread wheat). RNAcentral's name for it is "partial small subunit ribosomal RNA". Lineage: Eukaryota; Viridiplantae; Streptophyta; Magnoliopsida; Poales; Poaceae. The record is from RNAcentral.
AUGUUUGUCAUUGGUAUCGGGUUGAACAUCUUGUUCCUCUACCGCCCAAUGACCGGCGUGCCAAAGUCAUCCUUCAAGGCCUAUCUGAAUGACUGGGAAGGCAGGCAAUGGGCUCUUCUUGCCGGUCUCCUUUGUGGUUUGGGCAAUGGCUUCCAGUUCAUGGGUGGUCAGGCUGCUGGUUAUGCUGCAGCUGAUGCUGUUGAGGCAUUGCCACUUGUGAGCACAUUCUGGGGCAUCGUGCUAUUCGGGGAGUACCGGAAGUCGUCAAAGAAAACGUACACUCUGCUCGUGUUCAUGCUGCUGAUGUUCAUUGCGGCUGUAGCAACGCUGAUGGCUUCAGCUGGUCACAGGAGCACAAAGUGA